RNAcentral lists this ribosomal RNA (253 nucleotides) under uncultured bacterium. RNAcentral's name for it is "partial 16S ribosomal RNA". It matches the Rfam family "Bacterial small subunit ribosomal RNA", at positions 524 to 776 of the family's 1533-position model. The record is from RNAcentral.
UACGUAGGGUGCGAGCGUUAAUCGGAAUUACUGGGCGUAAAGCGUGCGCAGGCGGUUUUGUAGGCCAGAUGUGAAAGCCCCGGGCUUAACCUGGGAAUGGCAUUUGGGACUGCAAGGCUUGAGUGCGGCAGAGGAGACUGGAAUUCCUGGUGUAGCAGUGAAAUGCGUAGAUAUCAGGAGGAAUACCGAUGGCGAAGGCAGGUCUCUGGGCUGACACUGACGCUCAUGCACGAAAGCGUGGGGAGCAAACAGG